This 448-nucleotide ribosomal RNA is filed under the name uncultured bacterium. RNAcentral's name for it is "bacterial SSU rRNA". It matches the Rfam family "Bacterial small subunit ribosomal RNA", at positions 28 to 458 of the family's 1533-position model. The record is from RNAcentral.
GAUGAACGCUGGCGGCGUGCUUAACACAUGCAAGUCGAGCGAAGCACUUAAGUCUGAUUCUUCGGAUGAAGACUUUUGUGACUGAGCGGCGGACGGGUGAGUAACGCGUGGGUAACCUGCCUCAUACAGGGGGAUAACAGUUAGAAAUGACUGCUAAUACCGCAUAAGACCACGGUACCGCAUGGUACAGUGGUAAAAACUCCGGUGGUAUGAGAUAGACCCGCGUCUGAUUAGGUAGUUGGUGGGGUAACGGCCUACCAAGCCGACGAUCAGUAGCCGACCUGAGAGGGUGACCGGCCACAUUGGGACUGAGACACGGCCCAGACUCCUACGGGAGGCAGCAGUGGGGAAUAUUGCACAAUGGAGGAAACUCUGAUGCAGCGACGCCGCGUGAAGGAUGAAGUAUUUCGGUAUGUAAACUUCUAUCAGCAGGGAAGAAAAUGACGGU